RNAcentral lists this ribosomal RNA (253 nucleotides) under uncultured bacterium. RNAcentral's name for it is "partial 16S ribosomal RNA". It matches the Rfam family "Bacterial small subunit ribosomal RNA", at positions 524 to 776 of the family's 1533-position model. The record is from RNAcentral.
UACAGAGGUGUCAAACGUUGUCCGGAAUUACUGGGCGUAAAGGGCGCGUAGGCGGCCUUAUAAGUCAUGUGUGAAAGCUCUGGGCUCAACCCAGGAAUUGCAUGUGAUACUGUAAGGCUUGAGUUCGGUAGAGGAGGGCGGAAUUCCAGGUGUAGCGGUGAAAUGCGUAGAUAUCGGGAGGAACACCGGUGGCGAAGGCGGUUCUCUGGGCCUUACCUGACGCUGAGGAGCGAAAGCGUGGGGAGCGAACAGG